Pelobates cultripes (western spadefoot toad) is the source of this 86-nucleotide non-coding RNA. The record is from the annotation of a GenBank genome assembly. Lineage: Eukaryota; Metazoa; Chordata; Amphibia; Anura; Pelobatidae.
ACUACAAAGCAACGUUUCAGCCCUAUCAGGGCUUUUUUCAAGCUUCAAAAAAGCCCUGAUAGGGCUGAAAUGUUGCUUUGUAGUCC